GGUGGCCUCGGUUCCCCUCACCGCCCGGUCCAGCAUAACCCGCUAAGUUGGGGGGAGGCCGUUCCUCUUGGGCCUCCAGGCGACAAACCCCCUGCCUGGCCGGCACGAAAGCAGUCUCUUUGGGGCCUCUCGGAGAGCUCCGGGCAGCUUGGCGCGCUCUGCAGACGGCGGACAGCAAGAAAAUGGCGGCGGCCUCAGCUGAGGCGGGCAACUAAGGAGGGACUGACUUCAAAAGACGGUCCCCGAUCUCAGACACCGUCGUCAAUAUAGCCCGCUGUUGGUCUGCAGGGAUUCCCUCUUCUUGUCGGGCCGGGACGAAGGCCAUUUCCAAGUGGAUGGAGGUGGAUUGUAAUGGCGGCCCCGGACGACUCGAAGGCUCUGUAUCGGUAGGCAGAAUCCUCCAGCUCGUUCUAGAGGCUGCUCCACUCCAGCACGAAAUGGCGCCGCCGAGCCCCGCGCCAGCCCUUUAUAUAUAGGCGGGGAGGAGGAGCUUCGCCGCUCAUGCGCGCCACCCUGCUUGAGAUUUUCCCCACCCCCUCCGCGCGCGCGCGCUCGCUCACGCGGGUGAAGAAGCU
RNAcentral lists this non-coding RNA (575 nucleotides) under Pan troglodytes (chimpanzee). The record is from RNAcentral. Lineage: Eukaryota; Metazoa; Chordata; Mammalia; Primates; Hominidae.